This 449-nucleotide transfer RNA is filed under the name uncultured Borrelia sp. Its description in RNAcentral is "partial 16S-23S ribosomal RNA intergenic spacer". The stretch from base 111 to 185 matches the Rfam family "tRNA". The record is from RNAcentral. Lineage: Bacteria; Pseudomonadati; Spirochaetota; Spirochaetia; Spirochaetales; Borreliaceae.
GGUAGCCGUACUGGAAAGUGUGGCUGGAUCACCUCCUUUCUAAGAGAAAGGGAUUAUUUAAGUGUAAAUUAUAAUUUAACUCUUCCUUUGUCUUUUCUAAGACUUUUUUUGGGGGUUUAGCUCAGUUGGUUUAGAGCAUCGGCUUUGCAAGCCGGGGGUCAAGGGUUCGAGUCCCUUAACCUCCAUUUAUUUUAAUAUUAAAAUAAAUGGAGGUUGUUGUCUUAAAUAGCAAUGUAUCAUUUCAGUGAUGAUUGAGUUUAAAGCUAAGAAAAUCCUAUUAAAUUUGAUAUUUAAGUUCUAUUAAUUUUCUUUAUGUGAGCAGCAUUAUUCACAUGUGUUCAAUAUUAUGAAUAUAAUUUAGUCUUAUGUUAUGUUGUUAUUAUAAUAAAUUCUUUAUUGUGAGUGUUCAAUUGAUGGCUGAUUUACUCACUGAGUUUUAAUUAUAUCUU